GGUCCCAAGGGUAUGGCUGUUCGCCAUUUAAAGUGGUACGCGAGCUGGGUUUAGAACGUCGUGAGACAGUUCGGUCCCUAUCUGCCGUGGGCGUUGGAAGAUUGAAGGGGGCUGCUCCUAGUACGAGAGGACCGGAGUGGACGAACCUCUGGUGUUCGGGUUGUGUCGCCAGACGCAUUGCCCGGUAGCUAAGUUCGGAAUUGAUAAGCGCUGAAAGCAUCUAAGCGCGAAGCGAGCCCUGAGAUGAGUCUUCCCUGACAGUUUAACUGUCCUAAAGGGUUGUUCGAGACUAGAACGUUGAUAGGCAGGGUGUGUAAGCGUUGUGAGGCGUUGAGCUAACCUGUACUAAUUGCCCGUGAGGCUUAACCAU
RNAcentral lists this ribosomal RNA (370 nucleotides) under Vibrio cholerae. Its description in RNAcentral is "partial 23S ribosomal RNA". It matches the Rfam family "Bacterial large subunit ribosomal RNA", at positions 2561 to 2925 of the family's 2925-position model. Lineage: Bacteria; Pseudomonadati; Pseudomonadota; Gammaproteobacteria; Vibrionales; Vibrionaceae. The record is from RNAcentral.